RNAcentral lists this ribosomal RNA (552 nucleotides) under Bifidobacterium bifidum. RNAcentral's name for it is "bacterial SSU rRNA". It matches the Rfam family "Bacterial small subunit ribosomal RNA", at positions 146 to 710 of the family's 1533-position model. Lineage: Bacteria; Bacillati; Actinomycetota; Actinomycetes; Bifidobacteriales; Bifidobacteriaceae. The record is from RNAcentral.
UCUCCUGGAAACGGGUGGUAAUGCCGGAUGUUCCACAUGAUCGCAUGUGAUUGUGGGAAAGAUUCUAUCGGCGUGGGAUGGGGUCGCGUCCUAUCAGCUUGUUGGUGAGGUAACGGCUCACCAAGGCUUCGACGGGUAGCCGGCCUGAGAGGGCGACCGGCCACAUUGGGACUGAGAUACGGCCCAGACUCCUACGGGAGGCAGCAGUGGGGAAUAUUGCACAAUGGGCGCAAGCCUGAUGCAGCGACGCCGCGUGAGGGAUGGAGGCCUUCGGGUUGUAAACCUCUUUUGUUUGGGAGCAAGCCUUCGGGUGAGUGUACCUUUCGAAUAAGCGCCGGCUAACUACGUGCCAGCAGCCGCGGUAAUACGUAGGGCGCAAGCGUUAUCCGGAUUUAUUGGGCGUAAAGGGCUCGUAGGCGGCUCGUCGCGUCCGGUGUGAAAGUCCAUCGCUUAACGGUGGAUCUGCGCCGGGUACGGGCGGGCUGGAGUGCGGUAGGGGAGACUGGAAUUCCCGGUGUAACGGUGGAAUGUGUAGAUAUCGGGAAGAACACC